UACAGAGGUCCCAAGCGUUGUUCGGAUUCACUGGGCGUAAAGGGUGCGUAGGUGGCCAGGUAAGUUCGGUGUGAAAUCUCUGAGCUCAACUCAGAAAUGGCACUGAAAACUAUCUGGCUAGAGGGUCGGAGGGGAGACUGGAAUUCUCGGUGUAGCAGUGAAAUGCGUAGAUAUCGAGAGGAACACCGGUGGCGAAGGCGAGUCUCUGGACGACUCCUGACACUGAGGCACGAAAGCUAGGGGAGCAAACAGG
This 253-nucleotide ribosomal RNA is filed under the name uncultured bacterium. RNAcentral's name for it is "partial 16S ribosomal RNA". It matches the Rfam family "Bacterial small subunit ribosomal RNA", at positions 524 to 776 of the family's 1533-position model. The record is from RNAcentral.